Nanorana parkeri is the source of this 219-nucleotide long non-coding RNA. RefSeq lists it as uncharacterized. The record is from RefSeq and is a predicted model, not a curated record. Lineage: Eukaryota; Metazoa; Chordata; Amphibia; Anura; Dicroglossidae. The transcript has 2 exons.
CUUCUAUUACAGGUACAGAAGCUGGAGGAGAGGGAGCGCGUGCUGCACGGCUCUCUGGCCGCCAUAGAGAAGGAGCUGACACUCCGCAUGCAGUCCCUGGAGAUCCAGAAGAGGAAGGCGGUUGAAGCGGCACAACUCUCCGAGGAUCUGAAGGUUCAGGUGGAACACAUUGUGAGCACAUUGCGGGACACCCAGAGUCUGGUCUGUGACAACCGCAGC